Molecule: ribosomal RNA, 447 nt
Filed under: uncultured bacterium
Lineage: Bacteria
Description: bacterial SSU rRNA
Rfam family: Bacterial small subunit ribosomal RNA
Source: RNAcentral
UGGGGAAUCUUGGACAAUGGGCGCAAGCCUGAUCCAGCCAUGCCGCGUGGAUGAUGAAGGCCUUAGGGUUGUAAAAUCCUUUCGUUGGGGACGAUAAUGACGGUACCCAAAGAAGAAGCUCCGGCUAACUUCGUGCCAGCAGCCGCGGUAAUACGAAGGGGGCUAGCGUUGUUCGGAUUUACUGGGCGUAAAGCGCGUGUAGGCGGAUUCGUAAGUUGGGGGUGAAAUCCCGAGGCUCAACCUCGGAACUGCCUCCAAAACUACAAGUCUGGACCUAAGUAGAGGCAAGUGGAAUUGCGAGUGUAGAGGUGAAAUUCGUAGAUAUUCGCAGGAACACCAGUGGCGAAGGCGACUUGCUGGGCUUGUAGUGACGCUGAGACGCGAAAGCGUGGGGAGCAAACAGGAUUAGAUACCCCCGUAGUCCCUGAGCGGGCUGGCAAGGCGCAU